This 1970-nucleotide ribosomal RNA is filed under the name human gut metagenome. RNAcentral describes it as "bacterial LSU rRNA". It matches the Rfam family "Bacterial large subunit ribosomal RNA", at positions 526 to 2480 of the family's 2925-position model. The record is from RNAcentral.
CCGGGAGGGGAGUGAAACAGUACCUGAAACCGUGCGCCCACGAGCAGUCGGAGCAACUUUAUGUUGUGACGGCGUGCCUUUUGUAGAAUGAGCCAGCGAGUCGCUGGCGCGGGGCGAGGUUAACCGAAAGGGAGCCGGAGCGAAAGCGAGCCUUAACAGGGCGACUUGAGUCCCGCGCCGCGGACGCGAAGCCGGGUGAGCUAUCCGUGGGCAGGCUGAAGCGGGGGUAAGACCCCGUGGAGGGCCGAACGCACGUCGGUUGAAAACGGCGGCGAUGACCUGCGGAUAGGGGUGAAAGGCCAAUCAAACCCGGAGAUAUCUCGUUCUCCCCGAAAUAGCUUUAGGGCUAGCGUCGCGCGUUCACCGCCGGAGGUAGAGCACCGGAUGGACGAGGGGGCUUCGCCGCCUACCGAAUCCAACCGAACUCCGAAUGCCGGCGGCCCAGAGCGCGGCAGUCAGAGCAUGUGGGCUAAGCUGUGUGCUCGAGAGGGAAACAGCCCGGACCGCCCGCUAAGGUCCCCAAGUUCCAGCCGAGUGGCAAAGGAUGUGCGUCCGCCCAGACAACCAGGAUGUUGGCUUAGAAGCAGCCAUGCAUUCAAAGAGUGCGUAACAGCUCACUGGUCGAGUGGACAUGCGCCGACAAUACACGGGGCUAAGCUGGACACCGAAGCGGCGGGAUUUUAAUUCAUUAGAAUCGGUAGGGGAGCUUCCCAUGGGCGGAGAAGCCGGAGGGCGACCGACGGUGGAGCGCAUGGGAGUGAGAAUGCUGGCAUGAGUAGCGAGAGACGAGAGAGUAACUCGUCCGCCGUGAACCCGAGGUUUCCUGGGCAAGGCUAAUCCUCCCAGGGUCAGUCGGGGGCUAAGGCGAGGCCGGAAGGCGUAGCCGACGCGCAGCAGGCAGACAUUCCUGCACCGCGCACGCGGCGCUACGACCGACGGGGCGACGGAUGGGGGUGGCUCGGCGGGGUUCUGGACGUCCCCGUGAUGGAGCGCGGCCCGCGGACCAGGGAAAUCCGGUCCGCACGAGGGCGAGGCUCCGGACGAAGCGAUCAAGCGAAGCGAGUGAGCCCGAGGUCCCUAGAAAAACCCCUAGGCAGGCGCGUGCGCGCCCGUACCGCAAACCGACACAGGUGGGUGGGUAGAACAUACCGAGGCGAUCGGGUCAACCAUGGUCAAGGAACUCGGCACAAUGGCCCCGUAACUUCGGGAGAAGGGGUGCCCGCGCGUACGUGAACCGGCUUGCCCGGGGAGCGGAGGCGGGCCGCAGUGGAGAGGCCCAAGCGACUGUUUACCAAAAACACAGGACUCUGCAGAAGCCGCAAGGCGACGUAUAGGGUCUGACGCCUGCCCGGUGCCGGAAGGUCACGCGGAGGAGUUAGCCGUUAAGGCGAAGCCCCGAAGCCAAGCCCCGGUAAACGGCGGCCGUAACUAUAACGGUCCUAAGGUAGCGAAAUUCCUUGUCGGGUAAGUUCCGACCUGCACGAAAGGCGCAACGACUUGGGCGCUGUCUCGACCAUGGACCCGGUGAAAUUGCACUGGUCGUGAAGAUGCGACUUACCCGCGGAAGGACGGAAAGACCCCGUGAACCUUCACUGCAGCUUGGCAUUGGCCGCUGGUCCCGCGUGUAGAGGAUAGGCAGGAGGCUAAGAUCCGGAGGCGCCAGCCCCCGGGGAGCCGCCCUUGGAAUACUGCCCUCGCGCGACCGGCGUCCUAACCCGAGGCCGUCAACCGGCUCGGGGACCGUGCCAGGCGGGCAGUUUGACUGGGGCGGUCGCCUCCUAAAGGGUAACGGAGGCGCGCGAAGGUCCGCUCGGGACGGUCGGCAACCGUCCUUUUGAAUGCAAGAGUACAAGCGGGCUUGACUGCGAGGCCCACAAGCCGAGCAGGUGCGAAAGCAGGCUCUAGUGAUCCGGCGGCCCCGAGUGGGUGGGCCGUCGCUCAACGGAUAAAAGGUACUCCGGGGAUAACAG